Molecule: ribosomal RNA, 468 nt
Filed under: uncultured bacterium
Lineage: Bacteria
Description: partial 16S ribosomal RNA
Rfam family: Bacterial small subunit ribosomal RNA
Source: RNAcentral
GACGAACGCUGGCGGCGUGCUUAACACAUGCAAGUCGAACGGAAAGGCCCUGCUUUUGUGGGGUGCUCGAGUGGCGAACGGGUGAGUAACACGUGAGUAACCUGCCCUUGACUUUGGGAUAACUUCAGGAAACUGGGGCUAUUACCGGAUAGGAGCUCCUGCUGCAUGGUGGGGGUUGGAAAGUUUCGGCGGUUGGGGAUGGACUCGCGGCUUAUCGGCUUGUUGGGGGGGUAGUGGCUUACCAAGGCUUUGACGGGUAGCCGGCCUGAGAGGGUGACCGGCCACAUUGGGACUGAGAUACGGCCCAGACGCCUACGGGAGGCAGCAGUGGGGAAUAUUGCACAAUGGGCGGAAGCCUGAUGCAGCAACGCCGCGUGCGGGAUGACGGCCUUCGGGUUGUAAACCGCUUUCGCCUGUGACGAAGCGUGAGUGACGGUAAUGGGUAAAGAAGCACCGGCUAACUACGUG